Molecule: long non-coding RNA, 5465 nt
Organism: Pomacea canaliculata
Lineage: Eukaryota; Metazoa; Mollusca; Gastropoda; Architaenioglossa; Ampullariidae
Exons: 2
Source: RefSeq, a predicted model, not a curated record
GCGGGAUCUCUGUGUAGAUGUAUGAGGGGUGAAGAUAAAUUUAUGUGUUGGAACUUUGCGAAUUGUGAUACUAAUCUAAGCAUUUUUUCGUUUGAAAGUGUCUGUUGAAGCUUAAGUUGAAAGGAAUUCGUUUUAAUUGACACAUUGUCGUUUCGAUACACCUAUCUUGGUCUAUUUAAUACUUUAAGCUUUCUUCAUAUUGAUUACAAUAAGAACAACUAUCUACAUGUUCAACAGCUGUUACCAAACAACCGCGUCUUUAUUUAAUCAGUUGCAGGAAUAACUUUAUAAAUAAGCCUGUUGUCUUGCUUAACAAGUGUUGUAAGGAUUUGUGAGUGUGUGGGUGUGUGUUUUUGUGAAUAUAGUUUAAGUGAUGUUUCUGUCUUAUUUAGUUGGGCUAUUUACAUGGACUGUAGGUGUUUGUGUGAGAUGAUAGUUUAUUGGUUUGAGUGGAAUUAAGUUUUUAUUAUAAGCCAGUUGUUUCACUGCGUCUUGCAAUUUCUCCUCGUUGAGAUAAUAAAGUAAAUUAAAUUAAAAAAGUAUUCGUGAUUUCGUAACUAUAGAAUACAUUCUAUAGCUAAACAAUUUAUUAUAUAAUUUAUUUUUUAAUGAAAAUCCUCUUAUGGGGCCCCACAAUAGUGCAUUUUUAGCAGGUGGGUCAUUCUCCGUGAGGAAAGUGCAGUGCACAAGAUAAUUAGCUGUACUAUAUAUAUCUGCAACUGUCAGCCGACACAUUCCAGUGUCUACAUGUCACCUUUCUUCUGGCGACGUAUUGGAGGUCUGAUAAGAUGAAACAAUUCAUCCUUUGUUGAAAACCAUGUCCUGAAAAUCUCAGAAAUUCAUUUGUAAGGACACAAUAAAGUUCUACGUACCACAAUGAAAUUAAAGCGUUUAUUCUGUGUGUGGUUUGGACUGUGGCAGUGAUGGUGUUUCAAGAAACAAAAUUAAGCAAGCUAAAAGAGGAACACCAGACUGACUGGGAUGAAUUUCUGGAGUUUCUGCUUUUUCGCUGAGAACCCUGCGCCAGGCAUCCACCAAAUUCUCGCCAUAUUUCAUGAUGUUUGGUCGUGAACCAAGAAUGCCAUACCAGAUGAACGCUAACACUGAAGAUGAUAUACCAGAGGUAAUGGAUAUACCUGAGAUGGAUCGAGAAAACUAUGUACAGGAGAGGGACAAGCGCCUCUUAGAUACCUAUAAAGUUGCCAGCGAAAACCAGGAUAGAGCACACAAUAAACAACAAGAAUAGUUUGCCAAGCCUGCAUCAAAAGGUGUAAAGACAUUCAUAAUGCAGCCAGGUGAUCUUGUUCUGAAGAAAAAUGCACGGAAAGUAGAAAGGUGGUGCUUCAGACCCUGACUGCACUGGACCAUACAGGUACAGAGAUUUUGUAGCUUUUUUUUAAAACUUGUGAUGCUACUGGCUCUUUCUUCGCACACAAAAUUAGCAUCCCAUACAAAGCAUUAUGUUUACUCUGUUCAUUUAUUCUCUUUCAGGAUAGUGGACAUAGAUGACAACCAACAUGUAGCAUUGGCUUCACAAGGAAAGGAUAGACGUCAGCUGACAUCGAUGGUGGCCUAUGAACAUAUAAAACCGUUUAGGGAAAAUAUUAAUGUCCCGAACAAUAAUGUGCAGCAUUCUGUUGAUUAUUCUAAUGAUGGUGUAGUUCUUGUUUCAGGUGAAGGCAGCCUCAAAAUCCAGCAAGAGCCACAAGGAGCAGCUGGCAAUGCUGACAAGCAAAAGGCAGUUGUGUCAGCUUUGAGUUUGCUUGCCGAGGCAGCAAGUGUAAUAGGGAAUAAAGAGAAAAUUUGUGAUGAUUUUUCAAAUGAUGACAAUGAUUUUGUUUUAGGUUUUCCAACGAAGUGUAAGGCUGCAUAUUUAGAUAAUGAUGAUAUGUACUUUGCACAUGAAUUUGGACCCAAGUGAAGACAUGCCAAGCCUUUGCCAGUUAUCCCUGCUGAGAGACAGAACCACAGCCUUCGGGAAAUGCAGGCAUCUUGAGUGCAAAGACAGAGCUGUGUGAUCUUCACAUCGAUCACUUCUCUGCCAUGCUGAGGGACCAGUUUCCACAUGUUGGUGGUUUGCAGAGACUGGGUGUCUUUGACUCACUGGAAUGCCAACGUGUUGGGACACCUAUGGUAAGAUUUGUCCAGGUUUUGCAUGCUGGUAGGCACUGGGUCACAGUUUCACCUUCACUGUUCUGUUAUAAAUAGUUACAAUGGUAGUAAUGAUUACUCUAGUAAAAAUAUGUAUUGUUGGAUACUACAUAGGUUGCAUUAUUUCCAGCGAGAGCUGUUUUUCUCGCAUGCAUGCGAGGAGAGUGGGCGAGGUUGCCAGAGGAAGAAAAAAGAAAAUUUAAAAGGGAUGCAGUGUCCUGCAGAGGGUAACUUCCUCAAAGUGAAAGUGAAAAAACUGCAUACCUGAGGAGGGUGUGCUCUGAAUGAAAUCAUGCAACACUCAUGUAUGUAACACUUAAUACAAGUUCAUUGUACAGUACAUCAGGAACUGUGGGUAAUCCUGUGUUGGAAAAAUAGUAUAAAACUUCUUUUACCACACUUACAGACUGACUUCAUGAAGCAGCUGGGCUGGUCAUUUUCAUAUAAAAUAACGAUGGAGACCAACAUCCUGGAGUCUCCCGAAGGCGAAGCUGCUGCCUUGAACCCAACCCCCAUACCCCCAACAACUAUACAAACCCCACCAAAUUGUGGGAAGGAGGAGGAAAGGGCUCAACUGCAGCGGGAGGUUCAAAGUCUCUUUAAUGAAUUGUAUGGUGAGUUUGUAGUAUUACUGGUGAUGAACUAGUUUACGUCACUGGGUUGUAUGUAAGUUUGGAGAUUUACCAGUUUUUACACUGUCUUCUUGUUUUCAGGCUAAGCCACAGGAAGGUGGGGAAAUUUUCCUUACAAAAAGCAUAAAGUAAUGCCAGAGCUGGCUGUGACAGGUCUGCCGGUGUUUCUUUCAAGGAACCCUUCAGUUAUGGCUUACCUGCACUGAAAGCCAUUCUUGCACAAAAGAAUGAAAUAAAAAUGCAAACAAUUCAGGCAAGGUAAUUCACUAUUUGUUUUUGUUGUUAUUGUUGCUGGCAUAUUUAAUUUCCAAGAUCAUGAAAUUAACAUAGAAAUUGUACAUUUUGUAUGUUAUGAAUUUCAUAUAACUAAUUCUGUGCACUUUGUUGUUGGAAAGCUUAUCAGAAGAUGUGGCACCAGGAGAGGACACAACUCCUGCAAUCAGGUAAUGGGAAAUGGAAAUGUUCUCUUCUGGUUUGAACAUAAAUACAAACUUAAUAUAUCCAACAUAUGUUACAGUGCUAGAAAAAAAUUUAAAAUAACUUAAAUAUUCUUAAUGUAUGAAGGUAUUUGUUGUGAAAUUUGGUAAAAAGAUCUGCAUUCUUAUUUUAUCCUCAGUGCAGUCUCUGUGGCAGCAGUGGACAGACUCCUGUGCUUCAGUGUCCCUACAGAGGAAUGGCAAAUGUCUCUGUUGUUGCAUAUGUAUUUUAGAUAUCACAAAACCUUUCUAUAUUGUGACUAAGAAUGCACUCAAGAUUUUAGCAAAAUGUUAAGUGAUGAAAAUGGCAUUUAGAUCAUGUGAAGUACAUUAUAGGAUUAAGAACAACUAAUCUGCCUGUAACAUCAAACAGCACAACUCUAGAAGAUGUCUAGGAAGCGGUAAAACUGUUUGUAGGGGUGAAGGACAGCAACUGGUUGUCAUGCUGGCAGCAUCCAGAGGUCAAUGUCCAAAUAAAAACUGAACUGAAUGGUUGACAUUUAAAUAGUCUUUCAUAUCUUAAGUUUAACUGGAGGGAUUGUCAGAUUCGGCUCCUGAUCAGCUUUGUCGAAGAAAAGAAAGCACUAUUUGCGACACUUUCCAACACACGAAGAGCCAAGAAAAAAUUCAAUUAUGGAAAGAUAUGGCAGUUAUAAAUAAAUGCUCGUAGAGAUCAGAGAAUGAAAUGGGGGCAAAUAAACAAAAAGGUCCAAUUUAAGAGCAAGGGCCAUUACCUAUGCUAGCACGAUGAAAAGUAUUAUGCAGACUAAAUUUCUAUCAGUUUGCAUAAUGGGUUUGCAUGAGCAUCCUUCUUUUUACUGUCAUUUUGCUGUCUGGAGACUCAAAUGUGGGAUGAUACCAUUCAGAGAUCAAAUCGGCUGUGACCAAUCGAUAAAUGGUCAAAUGACAGAUGGUGAGCCUAUUGGCUCCAUACAGAGCAUCAGUGUCAAAAGAACCAAAUAAUCGGUCAACCAGGGAUUCCACAAUGUCCUAUAAACACAGAACACCACAGUGUCAACCCAGGACAACACAGACAGCGGUUCACCUGGUCUAACCUUGAUGUCAACAAAUCACGUGCAGUCCGCAGGCUGCGAUGCUCACCACAACCAGAGCUCGUGUUUACCUUUAACUGUGUUCAAGCUAUGAAAAAACUUGUCAGCAGGUCAAACCUCGCAGAGCUGCAGGGCAGCGAUGUGAAACAAACUGCGCUUUCCAUCAAAGGCACGAUCAUUAGUCACUACAAUGUUGUUACAGGGCAAAGGAUAACCACUGCGUUACUCUGCGUAGCCCUCGGAGUCUGAGUGAGCAAUACCCAGAAUAAAUUAUAAUAGUUUUAAUUUCUCAUCUAAAGUUUCUUCACAGCAAAUUCUCUCAACUUCCUUAAUGUUUACGUUGUCAAACUUCAAGAAAACAUAAGUCAUUUCAAAUCUGUAUUCCAUUGUAUUAUUUAUAUAUGUUAUUCUACUGCAUGGAUAAUGGAUAGAUAUCUGUGAAUGGGAGAUAAAGCGUAUGGUUAGUGUGCACAUAAAUGGAAUUUUAUGGAUUUUACAACUAUAAACGAUUUUGUAGACAUUUUCUAGGGGGAGGGGGGGGGAGGGCAUUGGUGUUUUACGCCGUGACAGCAACUAAGGCUAUAUUACGGCAAGCAGCCAGCCCUGUAAACAGAUGCCACGUGCAGAGAAAGAACAGCGUGCCCGAGACGAGAAAUGAACUCUGGGCAGCCAACCUUCACUGUAUUGGUGACAGGCGCUAACCGUUGCGCCACCGGGCCGCUAGACAUUUUCUAGGAGAAAUAUAUCCAGUGAAUGUGGUGACAGAACACCAGAUCAUCUCGAAUACGCAGGAUAGUGAUGUACUGGUCAGUGAGAUUGGAGAAAAUUCCCCCCACCAGGCGCGGCACUUGAGUGUCCACACUUUCAGGCACCUGCAGCCUCGAGUUCAUCACGAAUGGACAGGUGGCUUGUCCACCAAAUCAAACUAUUCGGAAUAGCAUUCACAUGUGAUACUGGAAAAUGCUACACUUUGUUGGACUUUAGAGGGACAGGAGAUAUCUGGAGAGAAAAACCGCUAUUGCAGAAGGUGAAUGGGUACUGUGUCACAGGCGUGAACUGAUGCCCAGUUGCGUCGUUCAAAAGAUACCCAAACCCAGAUUCAGUGCCAUAUGUCGGUCACCAGUGGGAAUAAAAAAAAACCAAAAACAAAAAAA